UACAGAGGGUGCGAGCGUUAAUCGGAUUUACUGGGCGUAAAGCGUGUGUAGGUGGUUAUUCAAGUCGGUUGUGAAAUCCCCGGGCUCAACCUGGGAACUGCUUCCGAGACUGAAAGACUAGAGUACGGUAGAGGGUGGUGGAAUUUCCGGUGUAGCGGUGAAAUGCGUAGAUAUCGGAAGGAGCAUCAAUGGCGAAGGCAGCCACCUGGGCCUGUACUGACACUCAACAACGAAAGCGUGGGGAGCAAACAGG
RNAcentral lists this ribosomal RNA (253 nucleotides) under uncultured bacterium. RNAcentral's name for it is "partial 16S ribosomal RNA". It matches the Rfam family "Bacterial small subunit ribosomal RNA", at positions 524 to 776 of the family's 1533-position model. The record is from RNAcentral.